UCUACAAUAGCUUUGACUGGGCUGAUCAUGUCAACAUCAUCAUUUCACAAUCUUAGCUAGCAGUCACCAGCAUGAAUCAAGACUACUGGCAAAUCAUUUUUAAUCCUUGUCAUAUAAAGAGAAAUUAUAGAUAAAACGUAUCGGUGCUCAUCGGCCGUUGAAAAUCGCUAAUUCAACAAUGAGUUGAUUGUAAGGAAUUGGUGACAGUGGCUAACCACAAACAUUGCAACUGGGAAGUCAGACUGGGAAAAUACGUUUUGAACGGUCAUCCAACUCGGAAUUGUAAAUCUUUUUUUUUAAUGACAACAUUUGCCAACAAAGGACCACCACGCACAAUAAGCAUGACACCUCUCCUUCACAUAGAGUUGAUCAGGCUUGAUUAUGGAAUGUUUUCCCAACUUCUCUUCAAUGGCUGUGCGAAGUUGCUGGAUAUUGGCGGGAAA
Salmo salar (Atlantic salmon) is the source of this 443-nucleotide non-coding RNA. The record is from RefSeq and is a predicted model, not a curated record. NCBI's taxonomy places the organism in Eukaryota, Metazoa, Chordata, Actinopteri, Salmoniformes, Salmonidae.